GACGAACGCUGGCGGUGUGCUUAACACAUGCCAGUCGAACGGUAAGGCCCUUUCGGGGGUACACGAGUGGCGCACGGGUGAGUAACACGUGAGUAACCUGCCCUCAUCUCUGGGAUAACAGUCGGAAACGGUUGCUAAUACUGGAUAUGAGCUUGCAAGGCAUCUUGUGGGUUGGAAAGAUUUUUUUUGGUUGGGGAUGGACUCGCGGCCUAUCAGCUUGUUGGUGAGGUAGUGGCUCACCAAGGCUUCGACGGGUAGCCGGCCUGAGAGGGCGACCGGCCACAUUGGGACUGAGAUACGGCCCAAACUCCUACGGGAGGCAGCAGUGGGGAAUAUUGCACAAUGGACGGAAGUCUGAUGCAGCAACGCCGCGUGCGGGAUGACGGCCUUCGGGUUGUAAACCGCUUUCAAUUGUGACGAAGCUUUUUUGUGACGGUAGCAGUAGAAGAAGCACCGGCUAACUACGUG
Molecule: ribosomal RNA, 468 nt
Filed under: uncultured bacterium
Lineage: Bacteria
Description: partial 16S ribosomal RNA
Rfam family: Bacterial small subunit ribosomal RNA
Source: RNAcentral